RNAcentral lists this ribosomal RNA (467 nucleotides) under uncultured bacterium. RNAcentral's name for it is "bacterial SSU rRNA". It matches the Rfam family "Bacterial small subunit ribosomal RNA", at positions 20 to 507 of the family's 1533-position model. The record is from RNAcentral.
UGGCUCAGAUUGAACGCUGGCGGCAUGCCUUACACAUGCAAGUCGAACGGCAGCACGGGAGCAAUCCUGGUGGCGAGUGGCGAACGGGUGAGUAAUAUAUCGGAACGUGCCCAGUCGUGGGGGAUAACGUAGCGAAAGCUACGCUAAUACCGCAUACGAUCUAUGGAUGAAAGUGGGGGAUCGCAAGACCUCGCGCGAUUGGAGCGGCCGAUAUCAGAUUAGGUAGUUGGUGAGGUAAAGGCUCACCAAGCCGACGAUCUGUAGCUGGUCUGAGAGGACGACCAGCCACACUGGGACUGAGACACGGCCCAGACUCCUACGGGAGGCAGCAGUGGGGAAUAUUGGACAAUGGGCGAAAGCCUGAUCCAGCAAUGCCGCGUGAGUGAUGAAGGCCUUAGGGUUGUAAAGCUCUUUUACCCGGGAUGAUAAUGACAGUACCGGGAGAAUAAGCUCCGGCUAACUCCGUG